GAGUUUGAUCAUGGCUCAGAACGAACGCUGGCGGCAGGCCUAACACAUGCAAGUCGAGCGAGACCUUCGGGUCUAGCGGCGGACGGGUUAGUAACGCGUGGGAACGUACCCUUUUCUACGGAAUAGCCUUUGGAAACGAAGAGUAAUACCGUAUACGCCCUUUGGGGGAAAGAUUUAUCGGAGAAGGAUCGGCCCGCGUUAGAUUAGAUAGUUGGUGGGGUAAUGGCCUACCAAGUCUACGAUCUAUAGCUGGUUUUAGAGGAUGAUCAGCAACACUGGGACUAAGACACGGCCCAGACUCCUACGGGAGGCAGCAGUGGGGAAUCUUAGACAAUGGGCGCAAGCCUGAUCUAGCCAUGCCGCGUGAGUGAAGAAGGCCUUAGGGUCGUAAAGCUCUCUCGCCAGGGAUGAUAAUGACAGUACCUGGUAAAGAAACCCCGGCUAACUCCGUGCCAGCAGCCGCGGUAAUACGGAGGGGGUUAGCGUUGUUCGGAAUUACUGGGCGUAAAGCGCACGUAGGCGGAUUAGAAAGUUAGAGGUGAAAUCCCAGGGCUCAACCCUGGAGCUGCCUUUAAAACUCCUAGUCUUGAGUUCGAGAGAGGUGAGUGGAAUUCCAAGUGUAGAGGUGAAAUUCGUAGAUAUUUGGAGGAACACCAGUGGCGAAGGCGGCUCACUGGCUCGAUACUGACGCUGAGGUGCGAGAGUGUGGGGAGCAAACAGGAUUAGAUACCCUGGUAGUCCACACCGUAAACGAUGAAUGCCAGUCGUCGGGUAGUAUACUAUUCUGUGACACACCUAACGGAUUAAGCAUUUCCGCCUGGGGAGUACGGUCGCAAGAUUAAAAAUCAAAGGAAUUGACGGGGGCCCGCACAAGCGGUGGAGCAUGUGGUUUAAUUUGAAGCAACGCGCAGAACCUUACCAACCCUUGACAUACUAGUCGUCGCUCCAGAGAUGGAGCUUUCAGCUAGGCUGGACGAGAUACAGGUGCUGCAUGGCUGUCGUCGGCUCGUGUCGUGAGAUGUUCGGUUAAGUCCGGCAACGAGCGCAACCCACAUCCCUAGUUGCCAGCAGGUUAAGCUGGGCACUCUAUGGAAACUGCCCGUGAUAAGCGGGAGGAAGGUGUGGAUGACGUCAAGUCCUCAUGGCCCCUACGGGUUGGGCUACACACGUGCUACAAUGGCAGUGACAAUGGGUUAAUCCCCAAAAACUGUCUCAGUUCGGAUUGGGGUCUGCAACUCGACCCCAUGAAGUCGGAAUCGCUAGUAAUCGCGUAACAGCAUGACGCGGCGAAUACGUUCCCGGGCCUUGUACACACCGCCCGUCACACCAUGGGAGUUGGUUCUACCCGACGACGCUGCGCUAACCCUUCGGGGAGGCAGGCGGCCACGGUAGGAUCAGCGACUGGGGUGAAGUCGUAACAAGGUAACC
This 1428-nucleotide ribosomal RNA is filed under the name uncultured marine bacterium. RNAcentral's name for it is "bacterial SSU rRNA". It matches the Rfam family "Bacterial small subunit ribosomal RNA". The record is from RNAcentral.